UGAAAGCCACCUUGGGGUCCCUUU
This 24-nucleotide non-coding RNA is filed under the name Rattus norvegicus (Norway rat). The record is from RNAcentral. Lineage: Eukaryota; Metazoa; Chordata; Mammalia; Rodentia; Muridae.